GACGAACGCUGGCGGCGUGCUUAACACAUGCAAGUCGAGCGGAAAGGCCCUUCGGGGUACUCGAGCGGCGAACGGGUGAGUAACACGUGAGUAAUCUGCCCUUGGCUUUGGGAUAACUACCGGAAACGGUGGCUAAUACCGGAUACGACAACCGUCUGCAUGGGCUGGUUGUGGAAAGUUUUAUCGGCCAGGGAUGUGCUCGCGGCCUAUCAGCUUGUUGGUGGGGUAAUGGCCUACCAAGGCUUCGACGGGUAGCCGGCCUGAGAGGGUGACCGGCCACACUGGGACUGAGACACGGCCCAGAGUCCUACGGGGGGCAGCAGUGGGGAAGAUUGGACAAUGGGCGGAAGCCUGAUCCAGCAACGCCGCGGGAGGGAUGACGGCCUUCGGGUUGUAAACCUCUUGCAGUACCGACGAAGCGCCGAUGAUGGUGGUGACGGUAGGUACAGAAGAAGCACCGGCCAACUACGUG
Molecule: ribosomal RNA, 472 nt
Filed under: uncultured bacterium
Lineage: Bacteria
Description: partial 16S ribosomal RNA
Rfam family: Bacterial small subunit ribosomal RNA
Source: RNAcentral